Molecule: long non-coding RNA, 21540 nt
Filed under: Triticum aestivum (bread wheat)
Lineage: Eukaryota; Viridiplantae; Streptophyta; Magnoliopsida; Poales; Poaceae
Description: long non-coding RNA (TAES_LNC027644)
Source: RNAcentral
GCUCUGUUUUUCCUUUGUACCGAAUACUAUCUAAGCCUAGCAUGGUCUGAUACCAUUGUUAUAUCCAUGGAUCGGGUAGGCUAGAUGAUUUGCGGUACUUCUUACCUUCUCCUUGUGUCUAGAGGGGCUCCGGUUGCCGGCUAUGGCGCCGGUGCCGGUGUGAUGGCAGAGAGUGGUGGUGGCGGUGCUUCCCAUCAGCAUUGCACUAACCCUAGAUCGGUAGGGGAUUAGGUGGGGUGUACGACGUUGCGACGAACCUCGUAAUGAGAGUUGCCGCCCCCACCUCUUUAUAUAGUGCAGGUGACAGGGGCCCGUCAACCAUAGUGGGUUGAGCGCCCCCGAUCAGGGCGCAGAUCUAAGGGCUCGGUGGGCUGUUGGGCCCACACGAUGGAGAUCAUCCUAAUAAGGUGUAGUACUCACAGCGCUCACAACAAGACCUUCCUAGUAGCUCCAGAAGACUGGCAGUGUUUCCACUGACACAAUCCUCCAGAACCCAAACUGAUAUCCGCCAACCAUUACAACGGUCAGUCUCCAUACCAUAUAUGCAUCCCUGAGAUUUCCCAAUGGAAGAAACAUCAGAUUUAGGCGGUUGUCGAAUUGUCCACCAGGUACUCCCAUCCAGGUCCACGGUAACUAUUAGUUUAUUGUAUUACCCUCUGAGUCAAAUGUGUUGUCGCCGGAAUCAUAAGCAAUGGAGUGUAGAGUGCCACCUAAGAAGAAGUAUCCUGAUUCACAGCUAGUUGUCAGAAUUUGGUGACCCCAUCUGCUCGACAUGGAAGUCCAUUUUCCGGCAUCCGAUGAGUAGACCUCUAUCGUGGUAAUGUCAUGAUCAUCAUCGAUGAUGACAAACACCGCGAAGCGAGAGGGAACUGCGGGGUCGAAACACAAGCUAACCAUGCGGCCGUAAGCAUUAGGUUCCGAUGGUUCAUGGCUAUCAGGCCGGGGCAGUGUGGCCCAGAUCUCCUCGGUCGCGGGGUUGCACACGACGUAUUCUCCGCGUCCCGCUCUCAUGCCAUGUCAGAGGAGGAUGCCGCCGCGGUAGCUCAUGAGCGUGACAAAGUGGUAGCCACACGCAGUCGCAAGAAAGAGAAAGAGGGAUCGACCAGCGGCCAGCCUCUACCGGACAGGUUGAGGAAACGGGUGGCGCCGGGGGAAUCGCCAAAGAAGCCGGAGAGCGUCUGGGGCGACCUCCUGCGGACGGCGGGGUCGGAGCACAGCGCGAGCCACGCCGGCGACACGCACUUGAGGCGGCACAGCGACCGGUACGGCACCCGCCACAGGAUCUCCCGGAGGAGGUCGUUGGGGAGGGCCUCCAUCGCCUGCUCCUCCUCCUUCCUCAUCUUCUCCAUCCCGUAUCCGGACUGCCGCUACUGCGAAUGAUAGAGCCGUAGAGGCAGUUUGUUUAGGGUUGAGCUGCGCUCCUCCCAAGUGUCUCUCUUUCACGAUUAGAAGGAAGAGGAGGGAAGCAGACAAGGCUUCAUACCGUGAUCUGGUGAGGGGAUGGAGAGCGACGUCCACUGGAGCGUUCGGUUCGCGGCGGACUUGGCGACCGCGCGGCACGUCACGUUCAACGACGGCGAACUACGAUUGCUCAAGGAGGCGCUUCGGAUCAUGCUCAUCGACGCGCGUGGGAUCACAGUGGAUGCUCGUUACCUCAGAUCUGGUGAGUCGAUUGACAUCGGGGAUAUCGUCUCGUUUCCCUGCCAUUUUGCUAGGGUUUGUGAUCGCCUCCCGUCGAGUGGCGCGGAUUCCGGUGAGGGUGCGCCGCCGUAUGGCCCACCGGGGUACACGGUUCACGGGCGUGGGCGCACGGGUUUGGGAUCGCACCGCCAACCGCCACAUAUGACAAAUGGCCCCGGGGUGCUGGGAUGUGGACCGGUCCUCCAUGGAUUGGAUGCGCGCCACGUGGGUGAGGGGAAAUCAGACCGCCAUGAGAGAGCUGGACCUGGGGCUUCCGGGAGCGCCGCGGGUAUUAAACGUGCGGCCUCUACCCCUUCCCCCAUUUUAGAUCUUGACCAGAGCUUCGCCCACUUCUGGAGCGCUCCGUCUCUCGCCAGAUCUAGGGUUCGUCCAAAUUUCUCCUGGUGGGAAGGCAAAAUCCAUGGUGACCUUCGUUCCUUUGCUCAAGUAGUUGCCUCCCCUCCCGCCACAAAUCCUCCUGCUAGAUCCAAGGGCAACGUGUCUGUUGAGAUGAGAGGGGAUGGCUUUGGUGCGGACCGCCAUGGCCCCGGGGCUGGGCGAUUCGAUCACGGCCGCGGCCGCGACUUCGACUCCAACGUGUGGAAGCGCAAGAUAAAGAUGGGGAGCUCCUCCAUGACCGAUGACAAGUGGGAGAAGGUGGCCGGAGGCCCGCAGGCGAACCACGCCCGGCAAACUCGGUGGGACGGCAACAUUGAUGACCUGCAGGGGUCGCACGAGCCGGCGCUGGUCGAGGGGCAGCAGGCAGCUCCUCCUCCCCGUCAAGAUAGGUGUGGGGGAGACAACGAUGGCAAGAACCCUCGUGCCUUCAACAAGAACAACACCUCUCCGAAGAAUCGCGAGCAUUCUUCAUCCGGUACCAUCGCUCCUCUCUAUGAUAGCUGCCAGAUCUGUCACCUACCUUGGUCAUUUUACUGUCCGUUGCCCGCAAGCAUUUUGUGAGAGAUGUAAGAAGAGAGGCCACCUGUCCAUUGUGUGCAAUGAGUUCUUCCCAUGGGAUCACACACCUGUGAUGUGUGCAUUCCAAUCCAAGGGGCAGGGUUUUUUCUACAUUCCUGAUUUCAGUGUGGACAGACAGGCUAGAGAAAAUAUCUUCAACAUUGUAGUCACUAUAACUGAUGGCUCUGCUCCAACCAAAGAUAUUGAGCAUGAAUUGACUGUUUAUGUUGGACAAGGAUGGCGCUGCUCUGCCAGAUUCUUUGCUCCACAGAAAUUUGUGAUGAGAAUGUCGAACCCUAGGGAAGUUGACAAAGCUCUGUUUGUUGAAAACAUUAAGCUGAAACAGUGUGGUGUUAGUGUCAAGUUCUCUCCCUGGUCUGAGGAUAUUGACUCUGAGGGUCUGCUGGAGAUCGCCUAGGUUAGGAUUGGAAAAAUUCCACCUAAUAAGAGAUGUGACAAAACUAUAGCUUAUGUGAGAGGCCUAGUUGGGAUCACUCUGGAAGUUGAUAUGUCAACUAUCAAUCGCCCCUCGUCUGUCAAGGCUAAGAUUGGAUGUCGUUUGAUUGCCCAACUCCCUGCCACUGCUGAAGGAGUGCUUGUAGGACGUUUCUAUAGAUUCACUUACGAGGUUGAGGAGGUUUUGGUCAGAAAUCCUGUUGAGCAAGAAAUUGUGGAUCCCAUCCCUGAUGAAAGAACCAAACCAGACCAAACCCCUAAAAGGAAGCGUGUUGAACAAGAUAAAGGAGAAACUCAUAGUGAAUCUGCUGGGCGUAGUGCCCCUGGGGGAUCUUAUCGUGGUGGCAAGGCCUAUCGCCUGCUAUGCGAUGAAAAAGAUGGAUCUAUUUCCUCUGAGAGUGAUACAGACAACUCCUUGCUUAUCGAAACCAUGCAAAGAGAGAUUGAUGAAAAAAGACAUGAGAAGUGUGGGGGCUCAUCGAACUGGAUUGUUCCCAUGAACCCUGAUGUUGCUGAGUCCUCUAUCCAAGAUAUUCAGGUGACAAAUGCUACUCAUAACAAAAAAUUUAUGCCUUGCCGAACUGUUUCUAACCUGUCUCAGAUUGUGGAGGUGACUGGUGAGGUGGACCCUGGACUAAAAACUUCAAGCAGCUACAUGGUACAACUACCAUCUUCUUAAAGUGUGGAGGAAAUCAUACUUACCCCUCCACUAGCACCUGAGGCUCCACUGAGAUUCAGCAAGCGUAAUGCUCCUGGAAUGCAGGACAAGGCCAGAAAACUUGCCAGCAAGAAAAUUUUGGAAGGUAACACUUCACCUGCUCAUAAAAAUUCUUUUGAUGUCCUGUCUAAUAAUGAAAUGAUUAGUAGGGCUAGCAAGAUGGGGGUAGAUAUACCUGAUGAUAAUUUUACUACUGUUGACAUUAUCAGAGAACUAGAAUGUGCUAGAAAAGAGCUAGAGGACAAAAAGAAGACUGAUACCACUAGUCAGGUGCCUGAUGACCUAGUGGUGGUUGAUGGUCUGGGUAGGAACACCCCUAUGAACUUAGAGUGGCUAGACCAAGAAGAACAUAUAUAUGAACAAAUCUCUUCUAUCAAAUCUAGAAAGAAAAAGCAGCAUAAAUCUGUUGUGAAGGUUCCUAGGCCUGUGACUAGGAGCCAGAAGAAAAAGAAUUCUGACAAUAAUCCUUUAGGUAGCCCUGCUCCGUCUCCUGGCAGGGUUACUCGAGCCAAAUUCCAUAAAAAAUCGUUCCAAAUGAGAGGUCUCAUUUGGAACUGUCGGGGGGUAGGCAAGAAAGGAAUGGCCACCUGCCUCUCAGACAGGAUCACUGACCAUUCCCUGGAUUUUCUGGGGUUGAAGGAAACUAUGAAGAAAGACCUCACUCCUAAAUGCUUGAGAAGGAUUGAUCCCUUUGACAUAUUUCAAUGGGACUGGGUGCCUUCUGUAGGCAAAUCUGGGGGGAUCCUGUGCGGUGUGAGGAGAGAUACAUUAGAAGUAAUUUCUUGUUCUAAGGGCAAAUAUGUGCUCCAAAUGGUGCUUUUUGACAAGAAGAAAAAGUUUCAGUGGGGAUUGUUAGUGUUCUAUGGGUCAGCACACGAUGAAUUCAAAAAUGAAUUCUUGAUUGAACUAGCUACCUCAUGUAGUGGCGUGAGUGUGCCCUACAUAGUGGGGGAGACUUUAAUAUUUUGAGGCACCCUGGCGAGAAGAAUAAAAAAUGGGAAACAAUAAAGCUACUGACCUAUUCAAUUCCAUCAUCAAUACUCUAGCCCUUCGAGAAAUACACAUUAGUGGGGGUAAGUAUACAUGGACCAACAAUCAGGCUCACCCCACCGUGGAAAAGCUAGAUCGCAUCCUGAUGUCCGAAAGUUGGGAAGAUGCUUUCCCAAUGGUUUCUGUGAGGAAAUUAGUUCAAGAAAUCUCUGACCAUAACCCCUUGUUUCUCUCCUCUGGGGAAGAAGGGCGCGAAGUGCCAAACCCUCGAGAAUUUCGUUUUGAUCUUUCAUGGCUCAAAGAUGACAGCUUCUUGCCCACUGUUGGGAGAAUCUGGGCUAGGAAAGUUGCAUCGACCGACCCAAUAGAUGUAUUGAAUAUCAAGUUGAAAAGAUUUAAGACCUACUUCAAAGGGUGGGGCUCGGACAAAUAUGGGCACAAUAAGAGAAGAAAAGAGGAGCUUCGCAUAGAAUUGUCUAUGCUGGAGGAACUAGAAGAGGAGGAUAUGUUGCCCCCUGACCUGUACGGUAGUAAAGUUGAUAUUAGUGCUGAGCUCUAUGAGCUUUUGGUGAACGAGGAAAUUUUUUGGCUUCAACAAUCCCACGAGCGUUGGCUCCUCAAAGGGGAUUUAAACACUGACUACUAUCAUAAAAUUGCCAAUGGGCAAAAACGCAAAAACACAAUCCAAUCACUCAGGGUGGGUGAGACAGUGAUUAAGGGCACAGAUAACCUAAUUUCUCACGCUACUAAGUUUUACAAAGAGCUAUUUGGCCCAGAUCCUGGUAACCAACUUCACCUUGAUCCGGGUACCUGGUCGGCUGAGGAGAAAUUAAAUGAGAAGGAUAACAUUGAUCUUUGUCGUGCUUUCACAAAACAGGAGGUUAGGGAAGCCCUGUUUGACAUGGCUCCCAACAGGGCUCCUGGACCCGGUAACAUCCCGGCCGAAUUCUACCAGGUGUGUUGGGAGAUUGUUAAAGAUGACAUUAUGGCCUUGUUUGAUCAUUUCCACCAAGGGAAACUGGAUGUGCAGCGGCUUAACUACGGGAUUAUUACCCUUCUCCCAAAAACCUCUGGGCUGAGAAAAUCCAGCAGUACAAACCCAUUUGUUUGUUGAGAUGCCCAUAUAAAGUGAUUACGAAAGUCCUUGAUCGUAGAGUGGCUAUCUAUGCGGAUAAACUCAUCAGCCCUACCCAGAAUGCAUUUGAUAAAGGCAGAAACAUUAUGGAUGGUGUCCUGUCUCUUCAUGAAAUUCUUAACUACACAUAUGUGAAGAAAAGAGUGGGGAUUGUCCUUAAACUGGAUUUUGGAAAAGCCUAUGACAAGGUUAAUUGGGACUUUCUCCUAGAAUGUCACAAGAUGCGAGGUUUCAAUGAUACUUGGUGCAGGUGGGUUAAACAAAUCCUCUACAAUGGGACUGUUAGUAUUAAACUUAACAGCAAUGUUGGCCCGUAUUUUCAAAGUAAGAAAGGGGUCCGCCAGGGGGACCCCCACUCCCCUUUUUUAUUCAACGUGGCUGUUGAGUGCCUCACCAAAAUGAUUAAAAAUGCUCAGAAAAAUAAGCUGAUAGUGGGCCUAGCUUCCAAUCUUAUUCUUGAUGGGGUGGCGGUCCUUCAAUACGCAGAUGGCACCAUCAUCUACAUAGAAGAUGACAUUGACAAAGCAAUCAACCUGAAGUUGUUGCUGUACAUGUUUGAGAUGAUGUCUGGCCUGAAAUUAACUUUCAGAAGAGCGAAAUUCUUACUGUAUGUGGAAAUGAGACUAUUGUCAAUAAAUAUGCUGAGAUAUUCGACUGUGAGGUUGGAAGUUUCCCACUUAAAUAUCUAGGCAUGCAUUUCAGUUAUGCUAACCUGAAAACCUCUGAUUGAGAAUUCAUUGUUAGCAAAUACUUAAAGAGGUUCGAUGCCUGGAUUGGCAAUGCUGCCUCGAUGGGGGGGGGGAGACACACCCUGCUUGAUUCGGUGGUCACACAGCUCUCCCUAUACCACAUGUCGAUGUGGCUAAUGAAUAAAACCUUCAUUGAAAGGCUAGACAAACACAGACGCCGUUUCUUUUGGCAAGGAUGUAACGAAAAGAAAAGAUACUAUCUUGUCAAGUGGAGUAGAAUAUGUAGAUCCAGAGACAAAGGGGGUUUAGGCAUAAAAGACCUCUGGAAGCAAAAUAUUAGUCUCAUGGUUAAAUGGUGGUGGAAGCUAGAGACUCAGAAUGGGUUGUGGCAAGAUAUCGUCCGUGCCAGAUAUCUCUGCAACAAAUCUGUUGCUGAUGUUACCCCCAAGUUCUCUGAUUCGCCUUGCUGGAAAAACCUGCUUAAAGUGAAAGACAUAUAUAUGAUGGGCAGGAAAAUUGAGAUUGGGGCUGGAAACUUGACAAGAGUGUGGAAAGAUCCAAUGAAUGGGAUGCUCCCAUUGCAGGAUCAAUACCCAGGUUUGUUUGGGAUCUGCAACCGUCCCGGAUAGCACCCUGGACAAGAGAAAUGAGCUUGAGUCCACCUCUAUUUUCAGGCGUAGGCUCACCCCUGAAUUGUCUGGACAGUGGGAAACCUUGUGUGCUACUAUUAAAAACAUCCCUCUGACUGAGAAAAGUGAUCGAGUUUUUUGGAGCCUUAACCAAAACGGCAAGUUCACGACCAAAUCAGUCUACAAGAUGCUGGAAAGACCUCUUAGUGGAUGCCAUUACAAGUGGAUUUGGAGAGCCAAAAUCCCUCUGAAGAUCAAAAUCUUUCUCUGACAAUUAUCACAAGACGCGGUGCUCAUGAGGCAAGUCAUGAAAAAGAGAAAAUGGCCAUGAAACCGGUGCUGCUCCUUCUAUAAAGAGCUGGAGACAGCCCAGCAUCUCUUUUUUACUAGCCCUGUGGCCAGGGUAGUAUGGCGAUCCAUUAUGGUGGUGCUGGGCACUGACAAGUGCCCCACAAACUUCUGGCAAUAUUUCGUGUGGUGUCACAAAUUUCUUCCCGGGAAGAAGUCUUUUUACACGGUGGGCCUAAAGGCCACCUGUUGGGCUAUAUGGUUGGCACGCAAUUGGGUCACUUUUGAAAAAAAAUCAAGACUCCUUUUAAGAUUGUGUUUUCUCUAUGCUCCUUUCUGUUAUACUGGACAGGUCUACAGCAAGGGGAUGCCGCCAGGGAGCUGCGUACGGGAGCAGAGAUGAUCAGGGCUAGCACAAUGCAGCUGAUGAAGAUGCGCGACGCCGCCAAGCAAACGACCCAGGGCGCCUGAUGCUUCCAAGGUGCUGCAGUUGAAGAAGAUGGAUGGCUCGAGCCGUUUACCUGUUGGCGUUUCUACCUAGAGAUGUUUUCUACCUGACUGGCAAAAUUCUAUGACCGAUCUAGUUUGAUCUUUUGAGCCUGUAAUAAGAUAGACUUUAUAUUCGUGCUACUCAGGUUUUCGCUCCGCAGCAUUUGUUUCGACGGCGAGCGAGUGCGGUGGGUUUCCUGGUAGUGCGGGAACUCGCUCUACCUCUUUCCCUCCUCCUGUUUUCUCUGUUUGGAAUUGGUUGUAUUUUUGUUCUAUGCAAUGGAAAGGGGUAAAGCCCGGUUCUAAAAAAAGAGGAGGGCAGCAGACUUGGAGUGCGACGUGAAUGGCGGCGAUGAACGAGACACGGCGGCGGAGCUGAAGCCGGACGGGAGACGCGAAACGGAGUAUAGAGCCAAGAAAAAGGCCAAGUUUGAGGCCCAAAGUGGACCUGAUUUUUCUUUAGGUUCCAAAAAAGUGGAUCUGAUUGCAGAGGCCUCUCCUAGUCCACCAAAGCGGAUCUGAUGGCAGCCGAUUUUAACAUCUAAUGGGUGAAUUGUUAGAUGUGUAUAGUUCAUUCUGUACAUUCCCAUUGUAUAAGGGGCCUUUCUGCACUUUACCACAUUUGUAUAUGUACUGGCCAUUGGCCCUCAGUAAAUCUUAGUUGUUAUUUAUCCAACAUGGUAUCAGAUGUUAGGUUCCCCUCUCUCCCGCACGCUGCAACUCCAUGCUAGCUCCUCCCCUCGAUCUUGCUCUCCGGCUGCCGCUGCUCUCUCUCUGUCUCGCCGUGGAUCCUGUCGCCCUUGGCCCGUCCCCUGCACAGCUCGCUCCAGGCUUCCCCCGGCCUCCCCGUCUACAGCCAGGACCGGCCUGGUCGCCAUUGUCCCCUGACCGGCCGGCCGCCCCUGCACCAAGCUCCGCUCGGUCCCAUUCGCCGCGGAUCCGGCUGUCUCCGCCGCGGAUCGGGCCUCCCCGCCCCCCUGGUCCCGUCCGCUGCUCCCUGCGGGCUGGUCGCCGCCGCCUGGUUUCUUCACUCCGGCUGGGGCCAGCUCCUCAGGGCCAGCCCGUCCCGCGCCCAUCUCCUGCUCGGCCGGGAGCCCCUGCCUCGCUCGCUCUGGCUGGGGCUCGGGCCUUGUUCCCCAUCGCCCGUGCGUGAGGGCUCGCACCUCUGCCGCUUCCUCGAUCCAGAUCGACUCUUGAGAAGUUGACUCCAAAAAAAAAGAGGGACAGCCAGUUUGUCAUGUCCUCUCCGGGCUAUGUUGCUGUUCCUCGCUGUUCGGUGAUCUUCGAUGGCACCAACUAUGCUGAGUUUGUGGGCUUCAUGUGCAUUCAUAUGCGUGGACUCCUUCUGUGGGGUGUUCUCUCUGGCGAGGUCCCUUGUUUGCCAUGCCCGGUUGCGCCAGUGGCCUCAAUUCCACCAGUGCCGCCGGUCCUUGCUGUUGAUCCUUCUCAGGUUGACCGGGAUGCUGUCAAGGCUCUGGAUGAUGCUACGGUUGAUGCUUAUGAUCAACAGGUAUCUUCUUAUUCUGAUGCUCUCUCUGUCUACCGGGAUGAUCUGUUUGCUUACACUCAGUGGUGCAAUGAUGAUGCUCGAGCUGCCGCUAUUCUCACUAUGAGUGUUCUCCCUCAGUUUGCCUCCGAGUUCAUGGGACUUGACACAGUUGCAACAAUGUGGUCUUAUCUUUGUCAGCGCUAUCAGCCCUCUGGUGAUGCUCUCUAUCUCUCUGUGGUGCGUCAGGAGCACGCCCUCCAACAAGGUGAUUCCUAUGUUGAUGAGUUCUAUUCACAGUGCUCUGCCAUCUGGCGUCGGCUUGACUCUCUUCGGACAGUUGUUUGUGGCACCUGUCGUUGAUGUCAGACUACUCGGUCUGAUCUGGAGUUUCAGCGGGUCCAUGAGUUCUUAUCUCGUCUCCGCUCUGAGUUUGAGCCCAGACGUGCUCACUUGCUUGCUCGUGGUCAUGUUCCGAUCUCGAAGGUGCUUGCUGAGCUUCGUGCUGAGGAGACCCGCCUUCGCUCUGCUGGUUUGCUGGUGGUUCCGUCUGUGUUGGCUGCUCGGGCUCCUGUGUCGUCUGCUUGGCUCACCGCUCCACCGCUCCUCCCCACACCUUCAGGGGGGUGAGUCGGCCUGCUUAUACUGAGAGGGGCCGGUCGCGCCGUGACACCUUCUGUGGCUACUGCUCUCGGCCCGGUCACCCUGAGUCUAAUUGCCGUGAGAAGAAGUGAGACCAGCUGCGCUCCUCUUCUAGUGGGACUCCUGGAUCUUCCUCGACUCCGUCACUCACUGACCAGGACAUUGUGAGGCUCAAACGCCUCCUAGCUUCCUCAGGCUCUUCAUCGACUGGUUCAGCUGCUGCUGUGACUGCAGCCACCUCUCCACCACCGCAGGCAUCCACACAGUCAGGUACAUCUUCAUGGGUUUUGGAUUCUGAAGCCUCUUUCCAUAUGUCUUCUGAUUCUUCUGUGUUGUCUUCUCUCCGAUCUCUUGAUUCGCCUGUUAAUAUUCUUACCGCCGAUGGCACACCUCUUCCUGUUGCUAGUCGUGACCUUCUUUCCACUCCCUCUUUUUCUGUUCCUAGUGUUUCACAUGUUCCUCGUCUUACCAUGAAUCUGUUUUCCGCUGCCCAACUUACUGAUUCUGGUUGUCGUGUCAUCCUUGAUACCGACUCUUGCUCCACUCAGGAUCGACGCACCAAGGCUUUGGUUGGUGCUGGCCCCCGGCGCCGUGAGUCAGAGGGCCUUUGGGAGGUUGACUGGCUUCGUGUUCCUUCCACUGCCACCACUCCUCCCGGCUUCCAUGCUCUUGCUGCAUCUUCGUCUAGGUCCUUCCAGCAGUGGCAUCAUCGCCUUGGUCACAUAUGUGGCUCUCGCUUGUCUUCCUUAGUUCGUCAGGGCCUCUUGGGUUCUGUAUCUGGAGAUGUUUCUUUACAUUGUAAUGGUUACAGACUUGGCAAACAGACCCAGUUGCCUUAUCCUACCGGUGAGUCGGUAUCUCAGCGACCUUUUGACUUAGUUCAUUCUGAUGUUUGGGGUCCUGCCCCCUUUGAUUCGAAGGUGGUCAUCGCUAUUAUAUCUUGUUUAUUGGUGAUUUCUCUCGCUACACCUGGCUCUACUUCAUGAAAACUCGUAGCGAGGUUCUCUCUAUAUACAACCAUUUUGCUGCCAUGGUUCACACCCAGUUUUCCAUGCCCAUUCGUACUUUUCGUGCUGACUCCGCUGGUGAGUUUAUCUCUCAUCUGUUGCAUGGUUUUCUUGCGGAACAGGGUACUCUUGCCCAGUUCUCAUGUCCUAGUGCUCAUGCUCAGAACGGCGUUGCCGAACGUAAGCAUCGUCACCUACUUGAAACAGCUCGUGCACUGAUGAUUGCCGCUUCACUUCCGCCUCACUUUUGGGCUGAAGCUGUUUCUGCAUCUACUUAUCUCAUCAACAUUCAGCCAUCGACUGCUUUGCAGGGUGGUAUUCCUAUGGAGUGUCUCACUGGACGUUCCCCUGACUUCUCCGCUCUUCGGAUGUUUGAAUGUGUGUGUUAUGUUCUUCUUGCUCCACGAGAACGCACCAAACUGACUGCUCAGUCGGUUGAGUGUGUCUUUCUUGGCUACAGUGCUGAGCACAAGGGCUAUCGAUGUUGGGAUCUUGUGGGUCAUCGCUUGCGCAUCUCGCGUGAUGUGACUUUUGACGAGUCUCGUUCUUACUACCCACGUUCUUCUUCCUCGAGUUUCUCCGUGGACGACAUUUCUUUCCUACUCCUUCCUGACACACCCGGCUAUGUGCCUCAUGUGGCACCUCUUCCUCUGGCACCUCUCAUUCCUUCUCAUUCCUCACCGACACCGUCUUCUUCAUCCUCCUCCUCCACUUCUCCACCUUCAUAUCCAGUCCGUCGCCCUCUCUCACCGUUUCCUCUCCACUAUACUCGCCGAUCUCGUCGUGAGAAUGUCUUCUCUAACGAGCCUUCCUCAUCUGGCGCACCUCCUCUCCCGCCUCCCCCGGUUCACAACCUUCAUGCUCGGCCUCGCCCUCCACCUGAUCGCUACUCCCCUGAUCGGUAUGGUCUCUCUGCUAUUGUUGAGCCCACUUCCUACCGAACUGCCAUGAAUCAGCCUGAAUGGCAACUUGCGAUAGCCGAAGAGCUUGCUGCUCUUGAGCGCUCUAGCACAUGGGAUCUGGUUCCCCUUCCUUCUGGUGUCCGUCCCAUCACCUGCAAGUGGGUCUACAAGGUUAAGACUCGCUCCGAUGGUUCUCUUGAGCGCUACAAAGCUCGUCUUGUGGCCCGUCGUUUUCAGCAAGAGCAGGGGCGUGAUUAUGAUGAGACAUUCGCGCCUGUGGCCCACAUGACCACUGUCCGCACUCUUCUUGCUAUGGCUUCUAUUCGCGAGUGGUCUAUCUCUCAACUUGAUGUUCAAAACGCUUUUCUGAAUGGCGAGUUGCGUGAGGAGGUUUAUAUACAGCCACCACCGGGGUACUACGCUCCUGAUAGUAUGGUCUGUAGACUUCGCCGCUCCCUCCAUGGUCUUAAGCAGGCCCCUUGUGCCUGGUUUGAGCGCUUUGCCUCUGUGGUGACUGCAGCUGGUUUCUUGCCCAGUGAUCAUGAUCCCGCGUUGUUUGUUCACACGUCUCCUCGUGGUCGGACUCUUCUCCUCCUCUAUGUUGAUGACAUGAUCAUCACUGGUGACGACCUUGAUUAUAUUGCCUUUGUUAAGGCUCGCCUUCGCGAUCAGUUCCUCAUGACUGAUCUUGGUCCACUUCGCUACUUUCUUGGGAUUGAGAUCUCCUCGACCUUUGAUGGCUUCUACAUCUCCCAAGAAAAAUAUAUUCAGAAUCUUCUUGCUCGCGCUGCUCUCGGUGAUGAGUGUACAGUUGUGACUCCUAUGGAGCUCAACGUUCAGCUUCAUGCCUCUGAUGGUGACCCUCUUCCUAACCCCACUCGCUAUCGUCAUCUUGUUGACAGUCUUGUCUAUCUUGCCGUUACGCGUCCUGACAUCUCCUAUCCUGUCCACAUCCUGAGUCAGUUUGUUUCAGCCCCCACCUCUGUCCACUAUAGUCAUCUCCUCCGUGUUCUACGAUAUCUUCGUGGCACGAUCUCUCAGCGCCUUUUCUUUCCCCGCUCCAGCUCUCUUCAGCUCCAGGCCUACUCUGAUGCUUCUUGGGCCAGUGGUCCCUCUGAUCGACGCUCGUUGUCUGCUUACUGUGUCUUUCUCUCUUAUUGCCUGGAAGACAAAGAAGCAGACUGCAGUUUCUCGCUCGAGCACAGAGGCUGAGUUGUGAGCCAUGGCUAUGUUGACGGCUGAGGUGAUAUGGUUAUGGUGGUUACUUAAGGAUUUUGGUGUGUCUGCUCCUACCUCCACUCCUCUACUGUCUGACAGCACUGGUGCUAUCAGUAUUGCGCGUGACCCGGUGAAGCAUGAGCUCACCAAGCACAUCGGCGUGGAUGCCCACUUUGUGCAUGCUGCUGUGCAGGAUCAGACUCUCGCUCUUCACUAUGUGCCCUCGGAGUUACAGUUGGCUGACUUCUUCACUAAGGCACAGACUCGAGCACAACACGGGGUUUUCCUCUCCAAACUCAGUGUUGUUGAUCCACCAUGAGUUUGAGGGGGGGGGGGUGUUAGAUGUGUAUAGUUCAUUCUGUACAUCCCCAUUGUAUAAGGGGCCUUUCUACACUUUACCACAUCUGUAUAUGUACUGUCCAUUGGCCCUCAGUAAAUCUUAGUUGCUGUUUAUCCAACAUGAAUAUCUAGGGACCUCCUAUUUCACCAAAAUUAUUUUCUUACAUUUUUUCCUUUUUUUAGUUUUUCCUAUUCUAGCUCGUAUCCUCUCCCUAUUAGACCAUUCAAAAUCUGCAUUUUAUUGUUGUGAGAGAACGUACACUUUUUUUUACUGUUUGUCGAUGAGCAAGGAUAUGCACUCGGAGUGAGAGGCGAUGCAGAUGCGCCUGGACAUCAUUACCAACUUGAGUGCCUAAACUUCAGAGUAGUGCGCCGUUAUGAGCUCGAGCAAGCACUAUAAAGGAUAAUGGCCAAGAGCGUUAUUUAAGAGAUUCUGUGGUUGUAGGAGAUUUGAGCCUCAUAACUGCAUGAUCGCCUGAUUGAAUCGUGAUAAAUGACUAACAACCGGCAUGGGACAACCUAUAUAAAGGGUCAAAUCCCCGCUUUAAGGACACAAGAUACAUGAAGCAUAUACUUGUAUCAUACAUAGCUCAGCAGAAAAAUUCAUGCGGGUAUCCNNNNNNNNNNNNNNNNNNNNNNNNNNNNNNNNNNNNNNNNNNNNNNNNNNNNNGGGGGGGGGUGAUGUGCGUAUGAUCGGAGCUUGCAAAGCCUCGUAACACAAAAUGAAUGAAAAAUUCAUGCGGGUAUCCUCUCCCUAUUAGACCAUUCAAAAUCUGCAUUUUAUUGUUGUGAGAGAACGUACACUUUUUUUUACUGUUUGUCGAUGAGUAAGGAUACGCACUCGGAGUGAGAGGCGAUGCAGAUGCACCUGGACAUCAUUACCAACUUGAGUGCCUAAACUUCAGAGUCGUGCGCCGUUAUGAGCUCGAGCAAGCACUAUAAAGGAUAAUGGCCAAGAGCGUUAUUUAAGAGAUUCUGUGGUUGUAGGAGAUUUGAGCCUCAGAACUGCAUGAUCGCCUGAUUGAAUCGUGAUAGAUGACUAACAACCGGCAUGGGACAACCUAUAUAAAGGGUCAAAUCCCCGCUUUAAGGACACUAGAUACAUGAAGCAUAUACUUGUAUCAUACAUAGCUCAGCAGAAAAAUUCAUGCGGGUAUCCUCUCCCUAGGGGGGGGGGUGAUGUGCGUAUGAUCGGAGCUUGCAAAGCCUCGUAACACAAAACGAAUGAAAAAUUCAUGCGGGUAUCCUCUCCCUAUUAGACCAUUCAAAAUCUGCAUUUUAUUGUUGUGAGAGAACGUACACUUUUUUUUACUGUUUGUCGAUGAGUAAGGAUACGCACUCGGAGUGAGAGGCGAUGCAGAUGCACCUGGACAUCAUUACCAACUUGAGUGCCUAAACUUCAGAGUCGUGCGCCGUUAUGAGCUCGAGCAAGCACUAUAAAGGAUAAUGGCCAAGAGCGUUAUUUAAGAGAUUCUGUGGUUGUAGGAGAUUUGAGCCUCAUAACUGCAUGAUCGCCUGAUUGAAUCGUGAUAGAUGACUAACAACCGGCAUGGGACAACCUAUAUAAAGGGUCAAAUCCCCGCUUUAAGGACACAAGAUACAUGAAGCAUAUACUUGUAUCAUACAUAGCUCAGUAGAAAAAUUCAUGCGGGUAUCCUCUCCCUAGGGGGGGGGGAGGUGAUGUGCGUAUGAUCGGAGCUUGCAAAGCCUCGUAACACAAAAUGAAUGAAAAAUUCAUGCGGGUAUCCUCUCCCUAUUAGACCAUUCAAAAUCUGCAUUUUAUUGUUGUGAGAGAACGUACACUUUUUUUUUACUGUUUGUCGAUGAGUAAGGAUACGCACUCGGAGUGAGAGGCGAUGCAGAUGCACCUGGACAUCAUUACCAACUUGAGUGCCUAAACUUUAGAGUCGUGCGCCGUUAUGAGCUCGAGCAAGCACUGUAAAGGAUAAUGGCCAAGAGCGUUAUUUAAGAGAUUCUGUGGUUGUAGGAUAUUUGAGCCUCAUAACUGCAUGAUCGCCUGAUUGAAUCAUGAUAGAUGACUAACAACCGGCAUGGGACAACCUAUAUAAAGGGUCAAAUCCCCGCUUUAAGGACACAAGAUACAUGAAGCAUAUACUUGUAUCAUACAUAGCUCAGUAGAUAGGAAAAACACCAUUAUAAUCAUCCAUGAUCAUCAAUAAAGACAGGUAGGCAUGCCGUAGAGUUGCCACCCAUCUGGGGCCUGAACCGAGGUGAAACCACGGUGUCACCAUCGUUACGGACGAGACCCCUUCAGGCACCACCCCUCUCUCUCCAUUCUUUCAUGGCAACCUUCAAAUUGUAAAAUCGGCAAACCGUUAUUCAUUGACAUUUGGCGCCCACCAUGGGGCAUAGAUGGAUCUCUGUCGUCAACUCUCCCACUAGAGGAAGCAUCUCCUAACGGAUACCAUUCCAAAGAACCUUGAGCUAGGGACUCCGUCGGCGAUGAUUUCAACAAAAAAUGGGUUAUCCAUAGAUGCCAUCACUUUGGAAGAAGAGAUCGACUUCGACACCUUUGAUGAUGACCUCCUCGUUGAAAUCCCAGUCACUUCGCCUCGACCCUCUUUUCUGGGUUUUGGAAAAUUUUGGGGCUCAUCAACCGGGUUUUGAUUUUUUAUUUGGUGCAUAUAGAUCAAGUAUAUUGCUUGGUUGUCAUUUUUUACCUUUGACUGGCAUUAGUAGUUUCUUUUCAAGAGAGUAAGAAACCAAAUAAUGAUAUUCCGUAGUUUUUUCUAGAGAGGAUGAUAUUAGUAGUUGGAUAUGACUGUAGGUGCACAAGCACAUACAACACAUGCACUCAUGUCCAUCGAUCACUACGGUUAUGUCAUGCUUAUAAAAAGGGACGAGUUUGUUGAAUCCAAAUGAUCUUAGCCAUUCAAUCAUCUAUAUCCAAUGACCCAUGUUGCUCUAAGAGCAUCUCUAACAGUUGUAAGAUAGGUGUUGGUAAAUUCACCACCUAGGACAUCAUGAUUAUGACAUACAAUAAAUGAGGAUAGAGAGAGAGCGAGCAAAGUUGUACGUAAAUUAACCAACAACACUUGCACAAGCUUGAAGAUAAAAUAGAGAGCAAUCACAAUUUUUUUUCACCUCCUAUUGGAAGACUUAGAUAUAACUCAUUUGAAUAGUUGUAUGUUAGUUGUUGGUCGAUGACAUAAUCAUUUUACGAAUAAGACUUACACACAACCUGUUGGAGAUGCCCAAACAGUGACGGAGACGGGGAGACCAGCAGGGGCCCUGGACCCCCUCCCCCUAACAUCCCUGAUUUAGUCCUAAUUUGAAGAUGAACAAUGUAUAAUUUAGGAAAAAUACAUGUAUAUUACUGUAAUUUGGCCCCUGUUAUCAAAAUUUCAACUCAUUUGCCCCUCUGAUUUUUAAUUCCUGGCUCCGCCACUGUGCCCAAAUGAUGUGUGCAACACAUAACCGUCGAUCUAAGGCUGCUUGUAAUGGGUAGUAUCAUAAGUUAGCAUCAUGCAUACGAUAUUAGUGUAUGAUGCUACCUUCCUAAUGUGUAGUGUCGUAUAUAGACAUAUUUUAAAGCGUAGAUUCACUCAUUUUGCUUUGUAUGUAGUCCAUAAUGAAGUAUCUAAUAACUGCAAUUAUCUGAAACCAAUAUUAAUUGCAUUAACUGUAGAUAAUCUUGGAAAUGGCAUUAGUUACAGAAUCAAUCGCAACUAUUUUGGGGACAACAUUAAUUUCAUGAAUGACAACCAAUAUUGAAAGGGGGACGCUAGGCGUCGGCCCGGCAGAUUUUUUAAAAAUAUCUGCCGGCUCGGCAGCCGUUAGAUCUAGUGUCAACCUAUGAUCCAGACGCGUUCUUACAAUUGCAACAAUGACGGUGUUGCGAAAACUUUCGCAACAGAUGUCAUGUUAUGGAAACUUUUGCAACAAAGCUCGUGUUGCAGAAAGUUUUGCAACAGAGUUCCUGUUACAUAAUGUUUCUGCAACCGAGGUCCUGUUACAGAAAAAAAAAUGGAACUUUUUUUGCACCAUUUUUUGCAACAUAGAUCCUGUUGCAGCAUCUCAUUGUAACACAACAUGUGUUACAAAAAAGCACCUUGAGUGAUAAUUCACUGCAGCGAACACACAACGCUUCUAAGCCAAGGAGAUAAGACUAACUGUGACCUGAAGAAAGACGCAUGGCGAUUGGAGCAGGCGAUAGAUGCAGCCGAGUGAUCCGCCGGUUGAUUAUUAGCAUUUCCCAUAUUGGAAACAACAUUAGCUGCUGCGCAAAGAAGCUAAGACCGAAAGACGCAACACAUCUUCGAGCGCGCGGUGUCUCUUCCGCCAAUUGAAAAUGGCCACGACAAUACCGACACACUUCAUACCUUGUAUUCAUAUAUCUAAACGCUCUUAUAUUUUUUUACGGAGGGGGUACAAAAUGUGUUGCCGGGUCCAUCACAUGACAUGACGCGGAUCCGAGAGGAGAGGCGACGGCUUCUUCCGAGGAUGUUUCCUCGGCAGCGGCGGCGGAGAACCGGCGCCCAUCACCAACGUAAAACGCCAUCCACACCACACGAGCCGGUCAAAAACGGCUCACUGACGUCCCGGAUCCACCCGCCGGCGCCGGGUCGACGCAUCCGCCUCGCCUCGCCUCACCAACUCGGCACGCCCUAUCACCAACCCACACUGACAACUUAUUAAUUCGGCCACAUCGCCGCCUGUCCCAGCCAGCCAGUCCAACCCGCCCGCCGUCCAACACCCCGCGCGCACACCACCGCCGCCGCCGUCGACCCCUUCCUCCCUCGCACCCAUGGCGUUCGCACUCAAGGCCUCCGCCUCCCCCGCCCUCGCCGCUGCCUCCUCGGCGGCGUCGUCCCCCUCCUUCUCGGCCGCCUCCGCGGCGCCGAGGGGCCGCGCCGCCGCGGCGAGGAGGGUCUCGCUCCGCGGGGCCGCGCACCCCGUUGCCGCCAUCAGGGCGUCCGCCACCGCCGUGGCCGGGGACAAGCGCACCAUCUCCGGCACGUUCACCAACCUCAAGGAGCAGGGCAAGGUAAAGAUAAUUCUUACCGCCCCGACGACUGCGCGUGUUUUGAUUCCGUCGAUUAGGCCGCAGACGGCCAUCCUCAUGGUGACAGUAAAAAGAUAAUUCUAUUUUACUACUGUAUUAGUAUUGUCUUACUAGUGGCCAUGUUUACUUUACUCUGCAACUUGUAACUUGUAGUUAUCUAUCCAUGUGUUCGUCUGUGCUAAAAGAUUAAUAUAUACACUAGUACUAAAUAAAUCCCUCAGAUGUGGUAUUUAUAUGUUACCUGCUCUGCGAUUCCAUCUGUUUCCACCAUAACUAGGUACAGUUGCCAUCAUUUUUGUGUUCUGAUGGUGUUUGCAACUUUCAGAUCGCGUUCAUCCCGUUCAUCGUCGCCGGCGACCCCGACUUGGCGACCACGGCGAAGGCGCUAAAGGUUCUCGAUGCGUGUGGUUCUGAUGUGAUCGAAUUGGGCGUGCCGUACUCUGAUCCGUUGGCUGAUGGCCCUGUUAUUCAGGUACUCUACAAUGUUAAAUAUACACGUCCUGUAGGAUUGUGCUAUUGUAUUCUGUAUGUAGUGUUCAUGUUCUUCAGCUUAUGUGUUUUAACAUUAAUUUUUGAUCACAUCAUUUCAGGCUUCUGCUACACGCGCGCUGACAAAGGGCACCACAUUUGAGGAUGUUAUCUCCAUGGUGAAAGAGGUGGUGCCUGAGCUGUCCUGCCCUCUCGCGCUUUUCACAUAUUACAACCCGAUUCUGAAGCGCGGUGUCGCCAACUUCAUGUCUGUUGUAAAAGAAGCCGGUGUACAUGGUAAUGCCCUUAUAGUUUUCCAUAGGUUCAGUGAUGUUCUUCUACAUUGAAAUGCCAUUUCUACUCAUAUGGUCACCUUGUUAAUUAUCUGAAUUCUGAAACAUAGCAUUGUUUCUCCUGCAUAUCUUAGUUUCACUAGUGCAUAAGGUUUCAGGUAGGCGAUUGAGGAUUAAAAAGUUGCAUAACAGCAUACACAGAUACACACAACUAUAUUUUACACGACGUACAAUGAUAUUAGCAAUGUGGCACUUUCUUGCUGUUGUAAAGUUAUGUUCUCAUUGUAACAACCAAAUUACAUAUUUAUUACCAUGCUGCAGGUCUUGUGGUACCUGAUGUUCCUCUGGAAGAGACAGAUAUUUUGAGAAGCGAGGCUGCCAAGAACAACCUAGAGCUGGUAGGCUCCCUUUGGCAUUAUCAUCUAUCGUGUAUCCUACCUUUAUAACUGUUUCCUUUUUCCAUUUUUUGUGUCCAAGCCAAUUAGGGUUGAAUAUUCUCAUUAAAUCUCUAUCUUUGAAGAAAGACCCCGUUUAAAAUUUCUUAUUUAAGCUCUGAUGCAAAAUGAUGAGUUAUGCUUAUUAGCUCAUUGCUUUGCUGUAAUUUUAAACUAAAUAAUACCCAGCAUCAGGUGCUGAUUAGUCUGGAAUACUGAAGAUGCCUCUUUUGUUUGUGCAGCUGUUUACAUCAGUUUUGUUAUGUCUUAUAAGUUAUUUCAUUUGCAUGAAUGCCUGCAGGUGUUACUAACAACACCAACUACACCAACAGAAAGAAUGGAGAGAAUUACAAAGGCUUCAGAAGGAUUUGUUUAUCUUGUAAGUGUCCAGAGCUCCAAAUUAUUUUUGCUCCCUUAAACUCUGCUUCUCAUAUAGCACAUUGUCCUUAUCGCUCAUCAGAAAGUUCUCAUAAUGGCCAACGUAGUGUAUUUCAGAACUUAACAAGAGUACAGUACAGUAGUUUGUCAUUUUAAAUUUUGUUGAGGGAAUUUAUCACCUGAAGUUGACUUCAUAAACUUAAGAAAGGCACAUGUCUCUGUCCUGUCAUGCUUUUUCUCUUCAACAGAGGCUGGGUUGACAUGCUUUUGUGCUGACAUGUAUCCUGGUGCUAGCUGUGCUAAUUGCUCAACUGAAAAAUAUAAUGAAAUGUACACCACUGUUUACAAAGACUGAGACGCCUUGGUUAUGCUCUGUAAUUUCUCCAAUUGGCUUUGUGAAUCAUAAACAAAUGGAAUUCAGUUGACAUGUUGAGGUUGAGCAUUUGUGGUUCUACCGAACCUGUUUGAGCAUAACCAGUUACAUGAUACACUACUCGCUAAGUUGCAGUAAUAUUUGCUAUUCAGGUAAGCACUACUGGAGUUACUGGCACACGUGCAAACGUAAGUUUCAAGGUGGAAGCUCUUCUUAAGGAAAUCAAGCAGGUUUGCUAAGUCUUUUCUUUAUUGUUACUCAGUGAACUAGUUUUGGUCUCCUACCUUAUUGUGCAAUGCACAUCUUGUUCAACGUUGCUUAUAGAACAUGGUCUGCUUAUUUAUUAUAGGUCACAGAUAAAGCUGUUGCUGUCGGUUUUGGAGUGUCAACUCCAGAGCAGGUGAAGCAGGUAAAUCAUAUAUAUCCAGCAACUCUCAUGCUCGGCAAAAUAUCUUGUUUUAUCCUCCUUCCUUCGUUUGCGCAAUCUUUGACAAGUUUGUUACUUCACUAUUGUCUACAAAAAUUGCAGAUCGCGGGCUGGGGUGCAGAUGGUGUGAUCGUUGGUAGCGCAAUGGUGAGACAGUUGGGUGAAUCUGGUUCUCCUGAAGAAGGAUUGAAGAAGCUAGAAGAAUUAGCCAAGAGCCUAAAGGCCGCAUUUCCAUGAAACAUGCAUUUUUUUAUCUUUGUGGGGGAAAUCGCAUGAAUACCAUAUAUAUAUUUUUAGUUCUGUUUUACAGUGUAGCAUUACAUUCCUGGCUUUAGAUUUCGAAGGAUCCUGUUGUGUGAUAGAAUAAUUGUACCCAUGUGUUGAAUGCUCGGGUGAAUAAAUUAAUUGAGGCUAGUGUUACAAAUGAUACAAAAGAAAGCAUCUUUCUGUCCCAGUGCCAUUGCCAUUUCAAUGAUUUCCUGGGUUCUUAUUUUUCUAAACAGCAUUCCUCACUGU